This 847-nucleotide ribosomal RNA is filed under the name uncultured bacterium. RNAcentral describes it as "bacterial SSU rRNA". It matches the Rfam family "Bacterial small subunit ribosomal RNA", at positions 1 to 856 of the family's 1533-position model. The record is from RNAcentral.
UUAGAGUUUGAUCAUGGCUCAGAUUGAACGCUGGCGGCAUGCCUUAUAUAUGCAAGUCGAACGGUAACAGGUUAAGCUGACGAGUGGCGAACGGGUGAGUAAUAUAUCGGAACGUGCCCAGUCGUGGGGGAUAACUGCUCGAAAGAGCAGCUUAUACCGCAUACGACCUGAGGGUGAAAGCGGGGGAUCGCAAGACCUCGCGCGAUUGGAGCGGCCGAUAUCAGAUUAGGUAGUUGGUGGGGUAAAGAGCUACCAAGCCAACGAUCUGUAGCUGGUCUGAGAGGACGACCAGCCACACUGGGACUGAGACACGAGCUAGACUCCUACGGGAGGCAGCAGUGGGGAAUUUUGGACAAUGGACGCAAGUCUGAUCCAGCCAUGCCGCGUGCGGGAAGAAGGCCUUCGGGUUGUAAACCGCUUUUGUCAGGGAAGAAACGCUCUGGGUUAAUACCCUGGGGUAAUGACGGUACCUGAAGAAUAAGCACCGGCUAACUACGUGCCAGCAGCCGCGGUAAUACGUAGGGUGCAAGCGUUAAUCGGAAUUACUGGGCGUAAAGCGUGCGCAGGCGGUUAUGCAAGACAGAGGUGAAAUCCCCGGGCUCAACCUGGGAACUGCCUUUGUGACUGCAUGGCUAGAGUACGGUAGAGGGGGAUGGAAUUCCGCGUGUAGCAGUGAAAUGCGUAGAUAUGCGGAGGAACACCGAUGGCGAAGGCAAUCCCCUGGACCUGUACUGACGCUCAUGCACGAAAGCGUGGGGAGCAAACAGGAUUAGAUACCCUGGUAGUCCACGCCCUAAACGAUGUCAACUGGUUGUUGGGAGGGUUUCUUCUCAGUAACGUAGCUUAC